Molecule: long non-coding RNA, 1387 nt
Organism: Clupea harengus (Atlantic herring)
Lineage: Eukaryota; Metazoa; Chordata; Actinopteri; Clupeiformes; Clupeidae
Source: Ensembl
GCUCUAAUGGUUCAUCCAUUUUGCUGUGCUUUGUUUUUAGUGAUUUUUGUCACUUUACCGAGUAAUGUUUUGCUGUUUAUUGCUAUUUUUAUAUUUCAAUUGUUCAUUUUUCUCUUUAAUUUCUCAAUUUUUUUGUUGUUAGAAUAAAUAACAUUUCCACUAAAUUCCCCCAGGAAAUUUAUUUUGUGGUCCGUAUGUUAAGACCUUUUUUUGCUGGCUCUCUUUGCUGGAUGAGUUUCAUCUGUUACCACACACAUUGCCCUCUUUUCAAAGCAAACUGAGCCGGAGGGAACUUCUUACGCUGCUUUUAUUCACCUGCUGGUCAGCCCUUAUUUGUAUGCCAGGCAGGGAACCUUUUAAGGAAAACAAGAAACCAUUUGAAGGUGAAACAUCUUGUGUUUUUUGGCUCCACGAACUGACUCUCCAUCAGGGCGACAGGAAGUCCACAAAGGGGCCACAGUUCUUUGCCCCCCAAAGACACUCACAAACAUGGGCAGGUCACACAGGGCCACACACUGAACUUCUCCACUCCCCUCUUACCAAAGGAAAUGUGACCCCUGAUUUUUUUUUCUGACCACUCAGGCUUUAUUCGAUUUGCUCCCUGUGUACAUAUUAAAAUGACAUUACUGAUAUAUCUAUACAUCUCUUGUCAUUACAAUAAUUCAUCGACAUUGCUCUUACACAAACACUACAAUAUUAGUCAUAAAUCCUCAAAAGGUAGAGACGUGCAUAACGAAAUUGCCUCAUAAAAUGUCUGUACACUCCUUUUUUUGUGGAAAUUGUUUUGUUACAGCGAGAUAUUUGUCUGUUGUUUUAACACAAGCAAAACGUUUAUCUGAGAGUCAGGAAAAUUUUGUUUUGACUUAGCAGCAGUUAUCUGAAGAAAGAGUUGUAUCAAUGUGGAAAAGCAUAACUAGAAUGCAGAGAAAGUCCCAAAACAUGCAGAUGCAUCACAGCCCUACGACAUUUGAGCACUGUAUUUUUUUAGACAGAGAAAAUCAAGCAGAAUUGCACAGAUAUCAAACCAAUGUUCUUUUCAGUAAAAGUAGCAGUUGUGUGUUUCACAAUGUCAAGGAUUUUAAGGCUAUGAGCCGCAUAAACAUAGGACAUGGGGGCUCCUAAAACCACCGUCCCAAUAGUCAUCACUUUGCAUAGGUGUUUGUUAAAAAAUGAAAAUAUUCAAGUUGUGAAUUCUGUGAACAAAACGUUGAAUAAUUUAAUUCAUAGCUCCUCACCCUAUAAAGAAAACUUUACUUGUUUUGGGAGGAAGUGGGGGAAGUGAGAAGGUAGAGGAAAUAAGAAAAAGUUUGUCCAGCCCCGAAAAUGCUUUUUUUGUUAUUGUGACUGCAUCAGUAGAUUUCCUUUGUGUCUUUUCAUGAUGAUUCUG